CCGUGGUGGUUUAGGUGGAAGCAGCGGUGGAGGAGGAGGUAGCCAACACUGUUUUUAAUAUAUAUAUAUAUAUAUAUAUAUAUAUAUAUUUUUUUUUUAUUGUGGUAGCCCCCAAAAUAUUGGGACAUAUAAAAAAAAGACAACUCUGUUCCGCAGAGUAGCUGUUGAUAUAAUAGUUGCGCAGGCACUUUGUUGACUCUAGAGAACCUCGGGCCAAUUGCACAUCCCCGUGACAGCGACUUUGCAUUCGGAUGUAAUCCUUAUCAACUUUCGAUGCCAGUUUCUGCGCCUACCAUGGUGACCACAGGUAAUGGGGAAUCAGGGUUCCAUUCCGUAGAGGGACCCUGAGAAAUGGCUACCACAUGCAAGGAAGGCAGCAGGCGCGCAAAUGACCCACUCCCGACGCGGGAAGGUAGUGACGACAAAUAACAAUACAGGACUCUUUAAUUGUAAUGAGUCCACUUGAAAUCGUUUAACUCUAAUCAAUUGGAGGGAAGUCUGGUGCAGAGCCACUGACCCGUGCGUGCUGCAGCUGUAA
Molecule: ribosomal RNA, 538 nt
Filed under: Pelobates cultripes (western spadefoot toad)
Lineage: Eukaryota; Metazoa; Chordata; Amphibia; Anura; Pelobatidae
Description: SSU_rRNA_eukarya
Rfam family: Eukaryotic small subunit ribosomal RNA
Source: RNAcentral